CGGAGUGGCGGACGGGUGAGGAAUACAUCGGAAUCUACUCUGUCGUGGGGGAUAACGUAGGGAAACUUACGCUAAUACCGCAUACGACCUACGGGUGAAAGCAGGGGACCUUCGGGCCUUGCGCGAUUGAAUGAGCCGAUGUCGGAUUAGCUAGUUGGCGGGGUAAAGGCCCACCAAGGCGACGAUCCGUAGCUGGUCUGAGAGGAUGAUCAGCCACACUGGAACUGAGACACGGUCCAGACUCCUACGGGAGGCAGCAGGU
This 262-nucleotide ribosomal RNA is filed under the name uncultured Stenotrophomonas sp. RNAcentral's name for it is "partial 16S ribosomal RNA". It matches the Rfam family "Bacterial small subunit ribosomal RNA", at positions 91 to 354 of the family's 1533-position model. Lineage: Bacteria; Pseudomonadati; Pseudomonadota; Gammaproteobacteria; Lysobacterales; Lysobacteraceae. The record is from RNAcentral.